Molecule: ribosomal RNA, 495 nt
Filed under: uncultured bacterium
Lineage: Bacteria
Description: partial 16S ribosomal RNA
Rfam family: Bacterial small subunit ribosomal RNA
Source: RNAcentral
GACGAACGCUGGCGGCGUGCCUAAUACAUGCAAGUAGAACGCUGAAGGAGGAGCUUGCUUCUCCGGAUGAGUUGCGAACGGGUGAGUAACGCGUAGGUAACCUGCCUGGUGGCGGGGGAUAACUAUUGGAAACGAUAGCUAAUACCGCAUAACAGUAGAUAUUGCAUGAUAUCUGCUUGAAAGGUGCAAUUGCAUCACUACCAGAUGGACCUGCGUUGUAUUAGCUAGUUGGUGAGGUAACGGCUCACCAAGGCGACGAUACAUAGCCGACCUGAGAGGGUGAUCGGCCACACUGGGACUGAGACACGGCCCAGACUCCUACGGGAGGCAGCAGUAGGCAAUCUUCGGCAAUGGACGGAAGUCUGACCGAGCAACGCCGCGUGAGUGAAGAAGGUUUUCGGAUCGUAAAGCUCUGUUGUAAGAGAAGAACGAGUGUGAGAGUGGAAAGUUCACACUGUGACGGUAGCUUACCAGAAAGGGACGGCUAACUACGUG